GUAGUAUAGAGGACUACCAUGGUGGUAACGGGUAACGGAGAAUCAGGGUUUGAUUCCGGAGAAGGAGCCUGAGAAACGGCUACUACUUCCAAGGAAGGCAGCAGGCGCGCAAAUUACCCAAUCCCGACACGGGGAGGUAGUGACAAAAAAUAACAAUAUCGAUGUUUUUACAACUUUGAUAAUUGGAAUGAGUACAAUCUAAAACCUUUAACGAGUAUCAAUUGGAGGGCAAGUCUGGUGCCAGCAGCCGCGGUAAUUCCAGCUCCAAUAGCAUAUAUUAAAGUUGUUGCAGUUAAAAAGCUCGUAGUUGGAUUUUGAAAUGUUAUAAAACAGCCCGCUUUUAUAAGUGUGUUUUUGUUGUUUUAUAUCUUUCUCCUUACUAGACUUUCACUAUUGUUCUUCAUUGAUCGAUAGUUUCAUCUCUUUUUUGAGGUGAGUGAUGGUUAGACCUCUUGGGUUUAGGAUUGUGGAUGAUUGCUUCGGCUGUUGUUCUGCUUAGAUUCAAAAACUAAUCAUUAGAAAUCUAGUUCUUUUACUUUGAGUAAAUUAGAGUGUUCAAGGCAAGCAAAUUAUUAUUGUUGCAAUGAAUACUAUUAGCAUGGGAUAAUGGAACAGGACACGUAUUCUAGUUUUCUGUUGGUUUCUAGAAUUUUUUGGCUCUUUCUGAGAGUCAGUAGUGUAAUGAUUAAAAGGGACAGUUGGGGGCAUUCGUAUUUCAUUGUCAGAGGUGAAAUUCUUGGAUUUAUGAAAGACGAACUUCUGCGAAAGCAUUUGUCAAAGAUGUUUUCAUUAAUCAAGAACGAAAGUUAGGGGAUCGAAGACGAUCAGAUACCGUCGUAGUCUUAACCAUAAACUAUGCCGACCAGGGAUUGGAAGAUGUAUUAUUCCGUGUAACAGCGGAAAAACUCCUUCAGUACCUUACGAGAAAUCAUAAGUCUUUGGGUUCUGGGGGGAGUAUGGUCGCAAGGCUGAAACUUAAAGGAAUUGACGGAAGGGCACCACCAGGAGUGGAGCCUGCGGCUUAAUUUGACUCAACACGGGAAAACUUACCAGGUCCAGACACAGUUAGGAUUGACAGAUUGAGAGCUCUUUCUUGAUUCUGUGGGUGGUGGUGCAUGGCCGUUCUUAGUUGGUGGAGUGAUUUGUCUGGUUAAUUCCGAUAACGAACGAGACCUCAGCCUACUAAUUAGUUAUGCAAAUGAUUACAUUCUUUAUGAAGGGGGUUUCUGUUAUAGCUUUGGGUUUGACUUGGAGAUAUAAUAGAAAAACUCGUUUUCAUUUGUUAGAGAUUUGAUGUCUUCUGACUGACGAUUUCGAUAAUGACUUCUUAGAGGGACACUUGGUGUUUAACCAAGGGAAGUUUGAGGCAAUAACAGGUCUGU
This 1382-nucleotide ribosomal RNA is filed under the name Paramoeba branchiphila. Its description in RNAcentral is "SSU rRNA". It matches the Rfam family "Eukaryotic small subunit ribosomal RNA", at positions 328 to 1465 of the family's 1831-position model. Lineage: Eukaryota; Discosea; Flabellinia; Dactylopodida; Paramoebidae. The record is from RNAcentral.